UUGGCUUCAACUUUUGAGCCAUCAACAACAGUUAUACUCCCAAUCCCACCAAGAACAAGAUUCUUAAGUGUUUCAGCCCCGGUAGGACCACAAUUAAGCAAACAGAUGCUAGCUUUCUCAAGAGCCGCUUGUCCUUGUUCUCCCCAAAUCCUGAGUUGACGAUCGUACUUCGUCUUCGGCUCAACCGUCAUCGUCGCGAGUGG
Molecule: unclassified non-coding RNA, 203 nt
Filed under: Hevea brasiliensis (rubber tree)
Lineage: Eukaryota; Viridiplantae; Streptophyta; Magnoliopsida; Malpighiales; Euphorbiaceae
Source: RNAcentral